UCCUCCAAGCUCGCUCAGAAGCCCAGAUGUCAUCUUGGAGAGACCUGUUGCAACCAUGUCCCAGCCUGGAGUCCUCUGGUCACCCUGAGAGCCCCGUGGGAGCUGGUACACUAUUCCACCACCUCUGCACUCUGCAGCCAGCUGGCGUUCCGACUGUUAAGAGGCAACACCUUAUAAAACAUAAACACAAGGAGAAAAAAAAAUGCACUUGGGUGACGUCCAAUAGUGACGUGGAGAAAGAGCCCAUCCUGGAAAAGCUGCCUCCGCAGGCAUCUGAUACUAACCUUGAUCUGUCACACACAUCAUGGAGGGUAGCGCGGAGGGCAUGUGUCAGCUUUAAUUAAUAGCUAACCAUCCCAUAGUGGAGGCGGGUUCUCUCCUUCACUGGAAUUUUCCAUUAGACUUGCUAAUGAUAUUUUAUGUCAAGUAAGUUAUAAAUUGAGCUGAAAAGUCAAGGUUGUGAGAGCGUAAGAAAGGAAGGCCAGACGGAAGGCGGAAGGCACUCGGCUUAACACAAUAUUAGCAUCCCCUGUGUAAUCAAUGACCAAGAUGUUCCUUAAACAUCUCUGAAGCUCAGGAUUCAAGGAAAGAUGUGCUCUUCGUCCUUGCUGAGCUGUGACAUCUGAGGAGAACAAACCCAACCACCAAGAGGCCGCACCCUCAAAUUCAGUUCCAAUGAAACUUUCCACGGCCCUAAAUUUAAACAGCUGGAUUAUCAUUCACAAACUGUCUUCUCAGCCUUUUGGAAAUGAGAGACUCCUGAUGAGAGAUGUGCAUUUCAUUUUUUGAACAGGACACAGUGUUCUGGACCUCGUUUAUGCUCCAUGUAAAUAGUCUUUUUUAAGAAGUGUGUGUUUAUCAUAUGCUACUGACACAGGUCACAGUAAACUCAUUUCCAUCAUGGGAGGUUUCCAGUGUGCAGAGGAGGUUCAGAAGAAUACAAGCCUUAUAACAAAACAACUCUGCUUCCAAGUUUUAAAUUCAAGUCAUGAAAAAUGUGGUGUGAAAGCAUUGCUAAAUUCCAUUUUAAACAUCUGAAGCUCAUAGGACAAACUUGGUCAAGGGAAGAGGAAGUGUACAAAAUAAGUGAGCCAAGAGUAGUGGCCUGUCAUCCAAGCCACUCAGGAGGCUGAGGCAAAAGGGUCACAAGUUCGGGGUUAGUCUCAGCAACUUAGUGAAACCCUGUAUCAAAAUAAAAUCUAAAAAGGUCAGGGGCUGUAGAUCAGUGGUAGAAUGCUCCAGGGUUCAAUCCCCAGUAGUGCAAUAAAUAAAACCAAGUGUGUCAGAUAUCAGGACUUAAGUCAGCAGCGUUUUUGCAGAGGAAACCACGCACCUGGAUGAUUUCCUAAAUUCUGUCUCAAUCAGGGAAAGCCAUGUGGAACCUGAAAACCUUGGAUUUAGGACAACUGCAGUAUUUGGGGAGAAGGAGACAUCUUUGCAUCCCAAACCCUACUCUCAGCAUCAAGGUCUUCAGAACCCUCAGGCUGAAGGUCCCAACCUGGAGAUACCAAGCACAGGGAUAUAUGCUGACAUACAAAGAUACCCAGAACAUUUUUACAUCUCUCUUUUUUUUAAAAGUCGAUUAAAUAAGGCUUGCUUCAGGUGCUAACCUGGUAGAAGAUCCAGUCUGAGCCAUGUUUUGGGGGAUCCUUUCUCUGCUCCCCUAUGGUCUCAUGCAGGCAGUCCUGGGCCAAGGCAGUUCAGAGACCCAUAGGAAGGGUCUGUGGUGCCCACCACUGGCCCAGGUGGCCCUCCCCAAGGUGGGGUGCAAUGCUUCUUCCUGACAGAGGCUCAGCUGCAGAUCUGAGCCGAAGAGCUCAGGUUUUCAGGUAGAGCUGGCAGCUCUCCGGGACACAUGUCCCGAGUGCCUGAUCCCAGAUCUGUCAGGCACACAGCAUACAAUGACACCCCCACCCUGUGGAAAUGCCCAAAGGCCCAAACCCCAGUCACCACCCCGUCUCCAGUCAGCACCACUGGCCUCUUCCCGUCCACAGCAGCCUCCUGCCUUCCUCGGGGCACCAGCCGGAGCUGGGGAGCAACCCAGCCUGCGAGCUGCCCUCCCAACCAGAGGUAGCAGAGCCCUAGCCCAGGCUGUGCCAACCAGAUGCCCGAGGCCAAGCUGAGUCAUUUCAGCCCAGAUCUUGUCUGUUUUCUUUACCUACUUGCCAAGGCUUAAAAAAAAAAAUCUAGCAAUUUUAACUAAAAUCCAGUUUCCCACCUUCUAGUGAAAAAUAAAACCCAAAGCUAUCCAAUCCCAGGCCUGCAUUCUCAUGUGUCGUGACUUUAGAGCUGACUAGUGUUCCCUGCUUCGCCACAGUCUCCACUGCUCCCCACCGUGGCACAGGGACCCUUCACAGACUCUCUUAGUUGUAGUUGGACACAAUAUCUUUAUUUUAUCAUUUAUUUUUAUGUGGUGCUGAGGACUGAACCCAGGGCCUGGAGCAUGCUAGGCAAGCGCUCUACCGCUGAGCUCAGCCCCAGCCCGGACCUACUUGAUCUUUGUGAGAGUUGGACUUUGCCAUCCUCGAUCUUGGCCUUAAACGUUGGCUGCCUUUAAGAGAUCGGGAAAAGAAACAAUUGCCUUUCAUUCCUAUAAGUUUCUCAAAGCACAAGGCAAAAUUGACAUUCUAAUAGCUCAUCCUCUCGUUCACACCCAGAAGCCCUGACGGGACUGGGAACACUGAGCACCAGCAGCCACAAACCCUGCAGUCACACAUGGGGUCUGCACCUAACCCGUCCAUGUGUUGAAGAAACAAUUCCUCUGACACUUGCUAGAAUGGUUAAAAGGCAGACUUUGCUCAGGACGGUCGCAAUUGGUGUAGGGUCUACCCCACUGGGGUUUUGCAGUCGAGAAAAGACUGGUUCAAGUUCAUACUCAACUAGAGACAGUGAAAAUUUGUAUCUGAGGAAAAGGGCAAGGGGGUCUCAGGGGAUGGUACAUUAAGGUGGAAUCCAGAGGGAGGGGGACUCUAGCUGCCAGACCCAACAGGCUUCUCCAGGAAGGCAGACAUCUCCAGGGAGGUGGCAGGGAGUGAGGAGUUCAUGAGGACUUAAGUCAAAGCUGGUCCCCAUCCUGAGCACCCAGGCCACCAAGAGGCACAGCCCGCAAAUGGAGUCACCCAGGGAACACCCCAGGGAACUAAGCAGUAGGGACUCCACCCUCAACACAAGCAGACUCACUCUCACAUGCUCUGGAAUAUUCGCAGUACCCAGGAUGGGGUCGGGAGGGCGGCAGGUUGGAGGUCAACCCUUCAAAGCACAGGAGGGACUCAAGGUCAUUGCUUGGAGUGGAUGGGCUGUGGGCAGAGUGAGGACAGGGCUCCUUUUAAUGGAGGGAUUUGAAGAAGGAACCAGCUGUUGUCCUGACCAACUCCACUUUGUACCUCUAAUCUCUUCUUUCCUUUGAGCUAUUUCUCCUUCCCAGCUUCCUGCAGGCAAUCACCUCACGCUAGGAGUGGAGACGGCCCCCAACCCCUGGUGCCAGCAGGACCCCAGCAGGAUCCCACAGAGCCAGAGCUGCUGCAGACUCUGGGCUGGCCGCGCUGGCUGUGCAGGUGCACACCUCUGGGCUCCCUCUUGUCCCUCCCCUGGGUGACGCUGAGGCCGGUAUUGGUACAGGGAAGAGCUGGCUUUCUGGUCUGGCCAAACUGAAAUCAAUUCCUUUUCUGCUUCACCACCAUCUUCUCUUUCUGCUAUUUAGACUCUCAAG
This 3709-nucleotide long non-coding RNA is filed under the name Marmota monax (woodchuck). Lineage: Eukaryota; Metazoa; Chordata; Mammalia; Rodentia; Sciuridae. The record is from RNAcentral.